RNAcentral lists this ribosomal RNA (490 nucleotides) under uncultured bacterium. RNAcentral describes it as "bacterial SSU rRNA". It matches the Rfam family "Bacterial small subunit ribosomal RNA", at positions 1 to 507 of the family's 1533-position model. The record is from RNAcentral.
ACGAGUUUGAUCCUGGCUCAGAACGAACGUUGGCGGCGUGGAUUAGGCAUGCAAGUCGCGCGAGAAGUUUCCUUCGGGAGACGGACAGCGGCGGAAGGGAGAGGAAUAAGUAGAAAUCUGCCCUCGGGACGGGGAUAGCGGCGGGAAACUGCCGGUAAUACCCGAUAACAUCUUUGGAUCAAAUGGUGUGAUUCCGCCUGAGGAUGAGUCUACUUCCUAUUAGCUAGUUGGCGUGGUAAUGGCUCACCAAGGCAAAGAUGGGUAGCGGGCGUGAGAGCGUGGCCCGUCUCACUGGGACUGAGACACUGCCCAGACACCUACGGGUGGCUGCAGUCGAGAAUCUUCCGCAAUGGGCGAAAGCCUGACGGAGCGAUGCCGCGUGCGGGAUGAAGGCCUUCGGGUUGUAAACCGCUGUCAGUGGGGUGGAAAUUGGGAGAGGUUCUCCUCUUCUAUUGACCUAACCGCAGAGGAAGCCACGGCUAACUACGUG